GGGCUCGUAGCUCAGCUAGAUGCAGAGUGCCUCUGCAAUUUGCAGGCACUCCGUGUCCUGCAAUGGUAGAGCGUCGGACUUUUAAUCCGCAGGUCGAGGGUUCAAAUCCCUCCGAGCCCG
RNAcentral lists this transfer RNA (120 nucleotides) under Microcaldota archaeon. RNAcentral's name for it is "tRNA-Lys". It matches the Rfam family "tRNA". From Rfam's summary of the family: Transfer RNA (tRNA) molecules are approximately 80 nucleotides in length. Their secondary structure includes four short double-helical elements and three loops (D, anti-codon, and T loops). Lineage: Archaea; Nanobdellati; Microcaldota. The record is from RNAcentral.